UGUCCAAGGCACACAUUACCAGAGGUUGGCAAUGUAUUAUUUGACAUACAUACCAAGAGAAAGUACUGGCAUUUCACAAAAACACACCCCUAAAACCAAAUAAAGUAUAUAGCCCCAUGGUCACAUAACAUCUCUAGGUAUGUAACCAUACAUAGCAACCUUCGUAUUAUGGAUGAAAAACAAAUUUUCCUCCAUAUUAAUAAUCCUGCACACAUCAUCAUGUGAACCUGGAUGUUACAUACCAGUGAAAUACUAUAGGUAUCAUGCUUACUUCAAAGAGUUCAAGGUAUCUGCACUGAGGGGGUUAAUUGACUGUAAAACCAACUUAUUUAUGCCAGAGCAUUCCACAAGGCAAAAAACAUUGCCAAAGGCAGUGAACCCUUUUCUACCGUUUAGUUUUUGCAUGAGUGCAAAAACAGAUAAUCAAACAAGUGCUAUUUAGUUAUACUCUUGGUUUGCCACACACACUUUAACCUAAUAGACAAGUGUCAGAGAAACUUCAUUUCCCAUACAGAGUUGAACAUGAAUGAAAGAUUUAUAAGCAGAAUGUUGAUCAGACAUCAAAAGAAAUGGGCUAAUGGCGAUUCAUGUUUUAUGUAUAGAUUUGUAUUUCUUUACAUAGUGGCAAAAUUUGAUUGCAUAUUUAUUCAUUUAUAAGAUAUGACUGUUUACUGAUGAAAAGAACCAUAUUUAAGUGGAGUGAAAAAUCUCAAGAUAUUUUUUAUAGUAUGGAGCAGCCAUUGUAAAUAAAUGAUCAACAGAGGAGGGUUGGGUUAAUAAUGGUUAAAAGGCAUGUCAGAAGUACUAAAAGUGAUAACAGGUCUGGCCUGUAUGGAAUGUCCAGCCAUUUGUUUUCUAAUUACUGGAUGUCCACUUCCAUCAUUCUCAGCAUUCCACUCUCAGUGAGGUAUUGACAGAAGCCACAUAUAAUACAGCAGUCAUAUGGUCCCAGGGGCCUCAGCCAUGAGAUAUCAAUGCUACUACUAGUAUUUCUUACUAUCAAGGUUGGUUGUUGUAAACAGUGCACCUAACAUUAGAAUACUCUAUAUGGAUUUCAAUUAUGAAAAAGCAAUGAUCACAAUUCUAUUUGUCAACAUGGUA
Long non-coding RNA from Lingula anatina, 1101 nucleotides. The record is from RefSeq and is a predicted model, not a curated record. NCBI's taxonomy places the organism in Eukaryota, Metazoa, Brachiopoda, Lingulata, Lingulida, Lingulidae.